RNAcentral lists this ribosomal RNA (358 nucleotides) under uncultured Mollicutes bacterium. Its description in RNAcentral is "bacterial SSU rRNA". It matches the Rfam family "Bacterial small subunit ribosomal RNA", at positions 1022 to 1381 of the family's 1533-position model. The record is from RNAcentral. Lineage: Bacteria; Bacillati; Mycoplasmatota; Mollicutes.
GAGAGCCUGAACACAGGUGCUGCAUGGCUGUCGUCAGCUCGUGUCGUGAGAUGUUGGGUUAAGUCCCGCAACGAGCGCAACCCUCAUUGUUAGUUACUACCAUUCAGUUGAGGACUCUAAUGAGACUGCCAACGACAAGUUGGAGGAAGGUGGGGAUGACGUCAAAUCAUCAUGCCCUUUAUGACCUGGGCUACAAACGUACUACAAUGGCCAAUACAAAGAGAUGCGAAGCGGUGACGUGGAGCGAACCUCAGAAAGUUGGUCUCAGUUCAGAUUGAAGUCUGCAACUCGACUUCAUGAAGGCGGAAUCGCUAGUAAUCGCGGGUCAGCAGACCGCGGUGAAUACGUUCCCGGGUUU